RNAcentral lists this transfer RNA (77 nucleotides) under Burkholderiales bacterium. RNAcentral describes it as "tRNA-Val". It matches the Rfam family "tRNA". Rfam says of the family: Transfer RNA (tRNA) molecules are approximately 80 nucleotides in length. Their secondary structure includes four short double-helical elements and three loops (D, anti-codon, and T loops). Lineage: Bacteria; Pseudomonadati; Pseudomonadota; Betaproteobacteria; Burkholderiales. RNAcentral also lists the same sequence under 4 other names. The record is from RNAcentral.
AGGCGCGUAGCUCAGCUGGCUAGAGCACCACCUUGACAUGGUGGGGGUCGUUGGUUCGAGUCCAAUCGCGCCUACCA